GAUGAACGCUGGCGGCGUGCUUAACACAUGCAAGUCGAACGGUGAAGGCGGCGCUUGCUCUGCUGGAUCAGUGGCGAACGGGUGAGUAACACGUGAGCAAUCUGCCCCUGACUCUGGGAUAAGCGCUGGAAACGGCGCCUAAUACUGGAUACGAGCUGCGAAGGCAUCUUCAGCAGCUGGAAAGAACUUCGGUCAGGGAUGAGCUCGCGGCCUAUCAGCUUGUCGGUGAGGUAUCGGCUCACCAAGGCGUCGACGGGUAGCCGGCCUGAGAGGGUGACCAGCCCCACCGGGACGGAGAAACGGCCCAGACUCCUACGGGAGGAAGCAGUGGGGAAGAUUGCAUGAUGAGCGAAGGCCUGAUGCAGCAACGCCGCGUGAGGGAGGACGGCCUUCGGAUUGUAGGCCUCUUUUAGCGGGGGAGAAGAGAAUGGGACGUUACCUGCAGAAAAAGCGCCGGCUAACUACGUG
This 468-nucleotide ribosomal RNA is filed under the name uncultured bacterium. RNAcentral describes it as "partial 16S ribosomal RNA". It matches the Rfam family "Bacterial small subunit ribosomal RNA", at positions 28 to 507 of the family's 1533-position model. The record is from RNAcentral.